GGUUAAGCGACUAAGCGUACACGGUGGAUGCCCUGGCAGUCAGAGGCGAUGAAGGACGUGCUAAUCUGCGAUAAGCGUCGGUAAGGUGAUAUGAACCGUUAUAACCGGCGAUUUCCGAAUGGGGAAACCCAGUGUGAUUCGUCACACUAUCAUUAACUGAAUCCAUAGGUUAAUGAGGCGAACCGGGGGAACUGAAACAUCUAAGUACCCCGAGGAAAAGAAAUCAACCGAGAUUCCCCCAGUAGCGGCGAGCGAACGGGGAGCAGCCCAGAGCCUGAAUCAGUGUGUGUGUUAGUGGAAGCGUCUGGAAAGGCGCGCGAUACAGGGUGACAGCCCCGUACACAAAAAUGCACAUGCUGUGAGCUCGAUGAGUAGGGCGGGACACGUGGUAUCCUGUCUGAAUAUGGGGGGACCAUCCUCCAAGGCUAAAUACUCCUGACUGACCGAUAGUGAACCAGUACCGUGAGGGAAAGGCGAAAAGAACCCCGGCGAGGGGAGUGAAAAAGAACCUGAAACCGUGUACGUACAAGCAGUGGGAGCACGCUUAGGCGUGUGACUGCGUACCUUUUGUAUAAUGGGUCAGCGACUUAUAUUCUGUAGCAAGGUUAACCGAAUAGGGGAGCCGAAGGGAAACCGAGUCUUAACUGGGCGUUAAGUUGCAGGGUAUAGACCCGAAACCCGGUGAUCUAGCCAUGGGCAGGUUGAAGGUUGGGUAACACUAACUGGAGGACCGAACCGACUAAUGUUGAAAAAUUAGCGGAUGACUUGUGGCUGGGGGUGAAAGGCCAAUCAAACCGGGAGAUAGCUGGUUCUCCCCGAAAGCUAUUUAGGUAGCGCCUCGUGAAUUCAUCUCCGGGGGUAGAGCACUGUUUCGGCAAGGGGGUCAUCCCGACUUACCAACCCGAUGCAAACUGCGAAUACCGGAGAAUGUUAUCACGGGAGACACACGGCGGGUGCUAACGUCCGUCGUGAAGAGGGAAACAACCCAGACCGCCAGCUAAGGUCCCAAAGUCAUGGUUAAGUGGGAAACGAUGUGGGAAGGCCCAGACAGCCAGGAUGUUGGCUUAGAAGCAGCCAUCAUUUAAAGAAAGCGUAAUAGCUCACUGGUCGAGUCGGCCUGCGCGGAAGAUGUAACGGGGCUAAACCAUGCACCGAAGCUGCGGCAGCGACGCUGAUGCGUUGUUGGGUAGGGGAGCGUUCUGUAAGCCUGUGAAGGUGUGCUGUGAGGCAUGCUGGAGGUAUCAGAAGUGCGAAUGCUGACAUAAGUAACGAUAAAGCGGGUGAAAAGCCCGCUCGCCGGAAGACCAAGGGUUCCUGUCCAACGUUAAUCGGGGCAGGGUGAGUCGACCCCUAAGGCGAGGCCGAAAGGCGUAGUCGAUGGGAAACAGGUUAAUAUUCCUGUACUUGGUGUUACUGCGAAGGGGGGACGGAGAAGGCUAUGUUGGCCGGGCGACGGUUGUCCCGGUUUAAGCGUGUAGGCUGGUUUUCCAGGCAAAUCCGGAAAAUCAAGGCUGAGGCGUGAUGACGAGGCACUACGGUGCUGAAGCAACAAAUGCCCUGCUUCCAGGAAAAGCCUCUAAGCAUCAGGUAACAUCAAAUCGUACCCCAAACCGACACAGGUGGUCAGGUAGAGAAUACCAAGGCGCUUGAGAGAACUCGGGUGAAGGAACUAGGCAAAAUGGUGCCGUAACUUCGGGAGAAGGCACGCUGAUAUGUAGGUGAAGUCCCUCGCGGAUGGAGCUGAAAUCAGUCGAAGAUACCAGCUGGCUGCAACUGUUUAUUAAAAACACAGCACUGUGCAAACACGAAAGUGGACGUAUACGGUGUGACGCCUGCCCGGUGCCGGAAGGUUAAUUGAUGGGGUCAGCGCAAGCGAAGCUCUUGAUCGAAGCCCCGGUAAACGGCGGCCGUAACUAUAACGGUCCUAAGGUAGCGAAAUUCCUUGUCGGGUAAGUUCCGACCUGCACGAAUGGCGUAAUGAUGGCCAGGCUGUCUCCACCCGAGACUCAGUGAAAUUGAACUCGCUGUGAAGAUGCAGUGUACCCGCGGCAAGACGGAAAGACCCCGUGAACCUUUACUAUAGCUUGACACUGAACAUUGAGCCUUGAUGUGUAGGAUAGGUGGGAGGCUUUGAAGUGUGGACGCCAGUCUGCAUGGAGCCGACCUUGAAAUACCACCCUUUAAUGUUUGAUGUUCUAACGUUGACCCGUAAUCCGGGUUGCGGACAGUGUCUGGUGGGUAGUUUGACUGGGGCGGUCUCCUCCUAAAGAGUAACGGAGGAGCACGAAGGUUGGCUAAUCCUGGUCGGACAUCAGGAGGUUAGUGCAAUGGCAUAAGCCAGCUUGACUGCGAGCGUGACGGCGCGAGCAGGUGCGAAAGCAGGUCAUAGUGAUCCGGUGGUUCUGAAUGGAAGGGCCAUCGCUCAACGGAUAAAAGGUACUCCGGGGAUAACAGGCUGAUACCGCCCAAGAGUUCAUAUCGACGGCGGUGUUUGGCACCUCGAUGUCGGCUCAUCACAUCCUGGGGCUGAAGUAGGUCCCAAGGGUAUGGCUGUUCGCCAUUUAAAGUGGUACGCGAGCUGGGUUUAGAACGUCGUGAGACAGUUCGGUCCCUAUCUGCCGUGGGCGCUGGAGAACUGAGGGGGGCUGCUCCUAGUACGAGAGGACCGGAGUGGACGCAUCACUGGUGUUCGGGUUGUCAUGCCAAUGGCACUGCCCGGUAGCUAAAUGCGGAAGAGAUAAGUGCUGAAAGCAUCUAAGCACGAAACUUGCCCCGAGAUGAGUUCUCCCUGACUCCUUGAGAGUCCUGAAGGAACGUUGAAGACGACGACGUUGAUAGGCCGGGUGUGUAAGCGCAGCGAUGCGUUGAGCUAACCGGUACUAAUGAACCGUGAGGCUUAACCUU
RNAcentral lists this ribosomal RNA (2904 nucleotides) under Escherichia coli. Its description in RNAcentral is "23S ribosomal RNA". It matches the Rfam family "Bacterial large subunit ribosomal RNA". The record is from RNAcentral. Lineage: Bacteria; Pseudomonadati; Pseudomonadota; Gammaproteobacteria; Enterobacterales; Enterobacteriaceae.